Molecule: ribosomal RNA, 966 nt
Filed under: uncultured bacterium
Lineage: Bacteria
Description: bacterial SSU rRNA
Rfam family: Bacterial small subunit ribosomal RNA
Source: RNAcentral
UAAUACGUAGGUGGCAAGCGUUGUCCGGAAUGACUGGGCGUAAAGGGCGUGUAGGUGGAUUGAUCAGUCGGAUGUGAAAUACCUGGGCUUAACCUGGGGGCUGCAUUCGAUACGGUCAGUCUUGAGUGCGGGAGAGGGCAGUGGAAUUCCCAGUGUAGCGGUGAAAUGCGUAGAGAUUGGGAGGAACACCAGUGGCGAAGGCGGCUGCCUGGACUGUAACUGACACUGAGGCGCGAAAGCGUGGGGAGCAAACAGGAUUAGAUACCCUGGUAGUCCACGCCGUAAACGAUGGGUACUAGGUGUAGAGGGUAUCGACCCCUUCUGUGCCGGAGUUAACACAAUAAGUACCCCGCCUGGGGAGUACGGCCGCAAGGUUGAAACUCAAAGGAAUUGACGGGGGCCCGCACAAGCGGUGGAGCAUGUGGUUUAAUUCGACGCAACGCGAAGAACCUUACCAGGUCUUGACAUCCCCUGAGAGCAUCAGAGAUGAUGUGUUUAAUCUUCGGAUUGACAGGGAGACAGGUGGUGCAUGGUUGUCGUCAGCUCGUGUCGUGAGAUGUUGGGUUAAGUCCCGCAACGAGCGCAACCCUUAUUCUUAGUUGCCAGCAUGGAAGAUGGGCACUCUAAGGAGACUGCCGGUGACAAACCGGAGGAAGGUGGGGAUGACGUCAAAUCAUCAUGCCCCUUAUGUUCUGGGCUACACACGUGCUACAAUGGGUGUAACAACGGGAAGCGAGCUGGUGACAGCAAGCCAACCUCUAAAAAGCACCCUCAGUUCGGAUUGCAGGCUGAAACCCGCCUGCAUGAAGUUGGAGUUGCUAGUAAUCGCGAAUCAGCAUGUCGCGGUGAAUACGUUCCCGGGCCUUGUACACACCGCCCGUCACACCAUGGGAGUUGGAAGCACCCGAAGCCGGUGACUUAACCGCAAGGAGAGAGCCGUCGAAGGUGAAGCCAGCGACUGGGGUG